Eublepharis macularius is the source of this 1073-nucleotide long non-coding RNA. RefSeq lists it as uncharacterized. Lineage: Eukaryota; Metazoa; Chordata; Lepidosauria; Squamata; Eublepharidae. The record is from RefSeq and is a predicted model, not a curated record. The transcript is spliced from 3 exons.
AACAAAAUAUAUUUAGAGCAGAGUAUGAUACUAAGCAUUCAUGAUCAGCAAAAUCAUUUUGGCAGCAUUGUUAGCUUCACAAAAAUAGAAACACACAGUCUAAUUUCCAAAAGGAGACAAGUGAUAUGUUACAUAAGGCCUAUGUUCUAGAAACAUAUCCAAAAUGAAACUUUAUAUGUUGUUUGUUGCAUUUCAAGGGAGCAAUAAAGUUUUAUUUCCGUUCUCUCCAAUGAUUGUCAGAAUUUAGUUUUCAACCCUGUGCAGCCCUUCUUAAGUAAUCCCAAUGCAGCAGAACUCUACCAAGUUAGAUCCCCCUUCCUCUCUAUGUCCAGCCACCCUUGCUAAAGGUUACAGGCUGAACAGCUAAAUUUCUUCAAUAACCUGUUGGAGAAACAGAGACCGCAGUGGGUAAAGGCCAACCAAGUUAAAACUGAAUUGACUUGUAUUCCCAGAAGAGUCCUUAAAGUAUAAAAUGCCUCAACAGGAUGGCAUGAUCUACUGUGUCAAACGCUGCAGACAGAUACAGGAGGAACAAUAAGGAAGCAUGGCCUUUGUCUACAUUUAGCCGGAGAUCAUCCACUAACGCUACCAGUGCUGUCUUGGCCCCAUACCCUGAUCUGAAUCCAGAUUGGAAAGGGUCUAGAGCACUAGCAUUUUCCAAGAUCUGGAGUUGGUAAGCUACUGACCAAUCACCAAGAUGGUCCUGCUUGUACUGAAGACCAACCUGGAAGACUGAAGCCCAAGUUUGCAUGCCACAGUUACUUACUUUGUAGUUCAUAGUGUAGCAUGCCUUAUAUGCUUAGUUAUGAAUAUGUUUAGACUAGUUAUGGUACUUCACUAGCCUUGCAUGCAAGAGUGGAAUCCACAAGAUUCCAGACAAGGAGUGUGCUGUUACAGCAGAAUAGAAAUGCCUAUGUAUUGGCAACAGAAAUCAAUAGGGAAUAGGGUUUGUGCCUUUAAGAACAGACUUAUGGGGAUUGUAGUCAGAUACUCCUUUCUGCCCAUCUUCACUUUGGGAUGCAUGGGACAUAUGAGCCUUUUAUUGACCCUUUCCCUGCCUUUGUCUCACUAAU